UAGGUUGAGCCUACGUCGGAUUAGCUAGUUGGUGGGGUAAAGGCCUACCAAAGCGACGAUCCGUAGCUGGUCUGAGAGGAUGACCAGCCACACUGGGACUGAGACACGGCCCAGACUCCUACGGGAGGCAGCAGUGGGGAAUCUUGGACAAUGGGGGAAACCCUGAUCCAGCGAUACCGCGUGUGUGAAGAAGGCCUUCGGGU
RNAcentral lists this ribosomal RNA (203 nucleotides) under Candidatus Rickettsiella viridis. RNAcentral's name for it is "partial 16S ribosomal RNA". It matches the Rfam family "Bacterial small subunit ribosomal RNA", at positions 221 to 423 of the family's 1533-position model. The record is from RNAcentral. Lineage: Bacteria; Pseudomonadati; Pseudomonadota; Gammaproteobacteria; Legionellales; Coxiellaceae.